RNAcentral lists this signal recognition particle RNA (96 nucleotides) under bacterium. Its description in RNAcentral is "signal recognition particle sRNA small type". It matches the Rfam family "Bacterial small signal recognition particle RNA". Rfam says of the family: The signal recognition particle (SRP) is a universally conserved ribonucleoprotein involved in the co-translational targeting of proteins to membranes. Archaeal SRP consists of a 7S RNA and homologues of the eukaryotic SRP19 and SRP54 proteins. The record is from RNAcentral. RNAcentral also lists the same sequence under 1 other name.
GGUUGGGGCUACUGAGGUGUGGACUACGAACCCCGCCAGGUCCGGAAGGAAGCAACGGUAAGUAGAUCCCGCACCGUCAGUAUAACCCUAACCCCA